Molecule: long non-coding RNA, 1328 nt
Organism: Pan troglodytes (chimpanzee)
Lineage: Eukaryota; Metazoa; Chordata; Mammalia; Primates; Hominidae
Exons: 3
Source: RefSeq, a predicted model, not a curated record
AUUAUCUUCAGAUUUCCAGAGCUCUGUCUUUGUACAGCCCUCUCCUCCUCAAUAUUCUGCCCUAUGAAUUCUAGCCACAUUUGCCUUCCCAGACUCACAGUUCUGUCCUCUAAACUCAGGAAGAUGUCUGAGCUCCAUCUGCAUUCUUUCUUCCUGUGCUGUGGCCUGGAGAGUUUUCUAAGGUGUUUGGGAGGUCAAUUGUUGCGCUAGCCUCAUUUGUUUCUCAUUUCUUGAGGAUCACUGCCCUUUGAUGCUUGAUUCCAGUGAUUGAUUCCCUUUGUUGCUGGAGGGCCAUAGUUUCAUAUAUUUUGUCCAGUAUUUUUGUUGUUUUAGGUCAGAAAGUAAUUUUGGUCUCUGUUACUCCAUGUUGGCCAGAAGUGUAAGACCUAAGCAUUUACACAUCAAAAUACUGCACACAUAAUUUUAGUUUAAGCUACUUUUUAAAAAAUCUCCUUCAUUUUCCAUUUAGCAUUCUAUUUAGGGUAUUACAUUGGUUUUUUUGAAAUUCUGUUAUUGGCAGUUUCUAUUGCCUAUCAAUCCCAUUUAAAGAUAGUGCAUAGGGUAUUCUAAAAUAGCUGUUAAGCAAAGAGAAAAUUGGGCCCGAUAGGGUGAGAAUCACAGCUCUAAUACCUAGAGUGACCUUAUAAUGUAUUGUCCAAAGGAGAUAUUUUUGACAGUGAAAGAGGGUGUUGUUAGUAAUUAUAUCAGGACCAUGGCCUAAACCAGGACUAUCCCAGGCAGCCUGGGACAUAUUUGUACCCCAUCUCUAUUUAAUGCCUUUAUACAAUUCUUUACUUAAUUCUACCAGCCUUUAUUGAGCCUGCUUUCUUUGUCUAGCUGAGUGCCACAUGCUGACAUCACUAAGAUCAAUACAGCAAACUCUGAAAGAUGGACAGAGAGACAGGAGAUGGUCCUUUAUCAUGCAGUGUGAUCUGUGCUGCAAUAGAGAUGGAAGAGUGUUCUGAUCGGCUGGAAAACAACGCACAUUGGAAGUUGUACGGAAAUGAGUGGGGAAAGUUUUGGAAGCUAGAAGUUCAAAACGAGGUGUUGGCAGCACCAUGCUCUCUCUGAAGAUGCUAGGAAGAAUCUGCUCCAUGCCUUUCCAUUCGCUUCUGGGGUUUCCUGCAAGCCCUGACAUUCCUUGGCUUGUAGAUGCAUCACCCCAGUUUCCACCCCCAUCAUCACAUGGCCUCCUCUCUGUGUGUGCCUCUGCAUUCCCUCUAUUCUUCUUCUAAGGACACCGACACCAGUCAUAGUGGAUUAAGGGUCCACUCCUAACUAAUUACAUCUGCAACAACCCUAUUUCCAAAUAAAGUCACAUUCUAAGA